CUGCUUGGAGGCAGUGCUUUCAGGAGGACAACAGGAGUUAUGUGGGCCCUUCUUUCCUGCCUGAAUCCUGUGGAGGAAGAAGCAUUCACGUUCACAUGCUAUUCCUUGUUUCAAGAUUAUUUAAGGAACCACCGCUGUUGAACUAGCAGGGGAUCUUUCCUUCGCUGACCUUUGCCAGAGCAGCUGAUUGGUGUGCCCCAGCUGCAGGCCAUCAUCUUCUUGGGAAAGUUUUAAGAUUGCCAGAAAAAUGAUCAUCUUCUUUCCUAGCCCUUACUGAUGUGUAUGGGCUUUGCUGGCCUUUCCAACUCCAGUGUGGGAGGGGUUGUUUGUUUUCCUUUUAAAUGUUAUCCUGCCAUCCUCCUUUUUUAACAAUGCUGUAUAUACAUGAAGACUUGCUGAGUAUUCAGUGCGGCACAUGGAUGGAGUGGAUGCUUUGAACUGCUUUUGCAACAAUGGAUUCUGCUUGACUGAUAAUGAAACCAUGGGAUAGACCUCAGGGAGUGGUAAAGAGAUGAGGGAUCCUGAGGUCACUGUGCCAUGUGGGACAUCAACUGAAUGUGCCAAGAAUAUGAACAUGAAUAUGAGUCUUCUCACAAUAACUUGUACAGCACUGUGUGCUCUCCACUCUGAUGCUGCAUUACAAUAA
This 646-nucleotide long non-coding RNA is filed under the name Cyanistes caeruleus (blue tit). Its description in RNAcentral is "lncRNA (ENSCCEG00000012227.1)". The record is from RNAcentral. Lineage: Eukaryota; Metazoa; Chordata; Aves; Passeriformes; Paridae.